RNAcentral lists this long non-coding RNA (5341 nucleotides) under Homo sapiens (human). RNAcentral's name for it is "non-protein coding lnc-CTBS-4:2". The record is from RNAcentral. Lineage: Eukaryota; Metazoa; Chordata; Mammalia; Primates; Hominidae.
GAUUCUCAGCGUCCUCUCCGGUGGAGGACAGAAGGCAUCCCAGGGUCGCGGGAGAGCCAGCGCAAAGUGGAAGGCACCUUGUACGCUGUGAAGCGGAGAUGCAGAUGUUACCCUAACCAGAAGCCCACCCCGCCACAAAUACUGGAGCGCCCAGCAUGCGUGCGCCACCCGCUUCCCUGCAGAGGGCGCCGCGGGCCCGCCUCGCCGAGCGCGGGGUGAGAUCCCAGUAGCCCAGAGCAGCCCGCGGGGCAGGCCCGGGCUGCCGCGGACUCCUCUUGAAAAGCCUUUGAUGCUGUAUUCUUAGCACAUGGAACCCUAAACCAAAGCCUGCACUGGGGCAUUUGUGAGAAGCGUGUGUGCAAAGCCUGAGAGACUCCCCUUUUGGGCAUGCUGCUGGGCAGGGGUGUUCUGGUUUGACUUUGUACAUGUCAGGCCAUCUCAAACUUGUGGCUGCAGCUGUCACUUAGAGUCGCACACCUCCUGAAUUGGUACCUCCAGCCCUGACUUCUCUUCAGUGCUCCAGACACAUGUAUUUCUCUGCUCGCCAAACAUCUUCCACACAACAAGCACUUUAAACUGAAAAUAUUCCAAAUCAAACUAAUCACAUUCUGCUUGCUAUCAGCAGCCUUCUUCACUCUCUGAUUCCUUUAUUUUGGUUAGUAGCAGUGUCAUUUACCAAACUGCUCCAGCCAAAAACCCUGGUGUCAGCCUAAACUCCACACUCUUCUUUCACCUCCAUUGUCUAAUAGUCACCAAAGUCUGUCCCCUCCUACCCUAGCAUAUCUCACCCUUCCAUUCUCUUGUUUCCAUCCCAUUGUCACUGCCCUAUUUCAGGCUCUCAUCACUUCUCACCUGGACUAGGGCAACUGCUUUCUUGUUUCCAUUAAAAAUUUUUAUUUAUAAUUGAUAAUAAGUAUACAUGUCUGUGGGUACAGUGUAAUGUUUCAAUACAUGUAUAUAUUAUGUAAUGAUCAAAUCAGAAUAGUUGUCCAUCACUUCAAGCCUUUAUCAUUUUUUUGUGAUAACUUUAAAGGUGUUUCCUAGGUAUCUUGCAAUGUACAAAGCAGUUAUUAUUGUUAUUAGCUAUAGUCACCCUACUAUGUACAGAAUACGAGAAAUUAGUUUUCCUAUCUAACUGUAACAUCCCCUCCGGAGCCUUUGGUCACCAUUGUUCUACCCUCUGCUUCUAUGAGAUCAGCUUUUAUAGAUUCCACAUGUGAGUGAGAUCAUUUGUCUUUCUGUGCUUGGCUUAUUUCACUUAACAUGAUGUCCUCCAGGUUCAUCCUCGCUGUUGCAAAUGACAGGAUUUUGUCCCUAUUUAUGACUGAAUAGUAUUGCAUAUAUAUGGAGAUAUAUAUAUAUAUAUCUCACAUUUUCUUUAUCCAUUCAUGCACUGAUGGAUACUUAGCUUGAUUUCAUCUCUUGGCUAUUGUGCUAAGCCCUUACUAUAGUGUUGCAGUGAACAUGGGAGUGCCAAUAUCUCUUUUGACUUAUUGAUUUCCAUUCCUUUGGAUAUAUAUCCAGUAGUGGAAUUGCUGAAUCAUACAGCAGUCCUAUUUUUAAUUUUUUGAGGAACUUCCGUAUUGUUUUCCAUAGUGUCUAUGCUAAUUUACAUUCCCACCAACAGCAUAUGAGUUCCCCUUUCUUCACAUCCUCAACAGUAAUUGUUAUUUUUUGUCUUUUUUUUUUUUUUUGCCAUUCUAACUGGGGUGCAGUGAUAUCUCAUUGUGGUUUUCAUUUGCAUUUCCCUAAUGAUUACUGAUGUUGAGCAUUUUUUCAUAUACAUAUAUAUAUAUAUAUAUAUGUAUGUAUGUCUUCUUUUGAGAAAUGUCUACUCAGGUCUUAUUCCCAUUUUCGAUUGGAUUAUAUGGGCUUUUUUUUUUCUUUUGCUAUUGAGUUGUUUGAAUUUCUUACAUAUUCUGUUUCUUUUUUCUUUCUUUUUUUUUUUUGAGAUGAAGUCUCACUCUUUUCACCCAGGCUGGAGUGCAGUGGUGUGAUCUUGGCUCACUGCAACCUCUGUCUCCUGGGUUCAAGCAAUUCUCCUACCUCAGCCUCCCAAGUAGCUGGGAUUACAGGUGCCCACCACCAUACCCACCUAGUUUUUGCAUUUUUAGUAGAGACGGGUUUUCACCACAUUGGGCAGGCUGGUCUCGAUCUCCUAACCUCAGGUGAUCCACCCACCUCGGCCUCCCAAAGUGCUAGAAUUGAAUUUCUUACAUAUUCUGAAUAUUAACCCAUUACACCAGUGCAUAGUUUGCAGACAUUUUUUUCCAAUUUUGUAGGUUGCCUCUUUGUUGAUGGUUUCCUUUGCUGUGCAUAAGCUUUACAGUUUAAUGUAAUCCCAUUUGUCUAUUUUUGCUUUUGUUGCCUGUGCUUUCGAGGUUUUUUCCAAAAAAUUCUUGCCCAGACCAAUGUCAUGAAGCAUUUCUCCUAUGUUGUACUCUAGUAGUUUUAUAGUUUUAGGUCUUCCGUUUACAUCUUCAUUCCAUUUUGAGUUGAUUUUUGUAUAUGGUGAGAAAUAGGUGUCUAGUUUCAUUCUUCUGCAUGUGGAUAUCCAGCUUCCCCAGCACCAUUUAUUGAAGAAACUGUCAUUUUGGGGUAACUGCUUUCUAACAGGUCUCUGGGGUUUGGUAUUACUGCGCCAGAACCCUUUCAUAUAGCUGUCAGAGAGAUGGCAGUGGAACAGCUCAGUUUAUAUCUCUCUGCUCUUUAAACCUAUCUGAUGAUUCUUCAUUGCCAGUAGGAUAAAGUCCAAACACCUUGGCUUGUCAUAUCAAGUCCUUUCCCAUCUGGUGCCCAUCAUCCCAGCUACCUCCUCUGAUACUCUCUACCAUGCAUCCUAUGAUUGCCUCCCAAUUUUACAUUCUCUUCAUCUUCCUGAUUAAAAUAGUGAUUGCUGAUUACAUGUCCUCUCUUUUGCAGUUAGAUGUGGCCAGGUGACAAAGUUCUGUACAGUGGAAUGUAAACAGAAGUAUCAUGUGAGAGUUUCCAAGAACUUUUUCAGGAGGGAGGAAACACAUGUCCUUUGCCCUCCCUUUUUGUUUGCUGCCUUCUCCAUCCUAUAGCCUGGAAUACAGACAUGAUGGCUACCAUCUUGGACUAUGAACAUGAGGAUCACACCCAAGGGAAGGAGAGGCAGCAAGCUGGAAGGUACUAUGGAGCAGAACUGCCACAGCCUGAGUACCUACCUCUGGAACUUUCUGUGAGAAAUGAAAUGGGCCCAACAGUUCCAUAAACAGUUGUUUUGGGAUAAACAUAGAAAUGGCCCCUAGCUUGAAAUUUGCAUUUGUUUUAUCUGAGUUCCCUCCUCAGGAAAGGACCUUCAGGCCUCUCAAAAAAGUAUCAAGAGAACUGACACCAGAUGCCUCCUUGCCCCUCCCUAGUUCCUGUUUUCUUAAACAUUGUUACAUAUCUUCCCUGCUAUGUAAGCCCCUAGAUUUAGUCAGUCAGGGAGAUGGAUUUGAGACUGAGCUCUCAUAACUUGGCUGCAGCACCCGAUUAAAGCCUUCUUCCUUGGCAAUACUUAUUGUCUCAGUGAUUGGCUUUCUGUGCGUCAGUACCUAGACUGAACCCCUGGUGUUUCCAUAACUUGGUCAAGCCACUGUUAUUCUGAGUAUCUGUCCCUUGCUGCUGUGCCUAAUCCUAAUUGACACAGAAUUUGGUACCAGAUCUGGGAUGCUACAGGUCACUCCAUGCUUAUGUUUUUCUUUCUUUAUGUUCAUAAGAAUUCAAGAAGCUAGCCAACCCCACUAUCUUUGAAUUAUUCACUCUUGCCAUGAAGAUUUAUUACCAUAGCCACUUGGCCUUCCAGCGUUUUGAUUUCCAUGGAUACUUUUUCUCCCAGGUGACUACAAGUGACAAUGUAUUUAUUUUGAGAUGGAUUUUCACUCUUCUUGCCCAGGCUGGAGUGCAAUGGUGCGAUCUUGGCUCACUGCAACUUCUGGCUCCUGGGUUCGAGAGAUUCUCCUGCCUCAGCCUCCUGAGUAGCUGGGAUUACAGGCAUCUGCAACCACUCCUGGCUAAUUUUUGUAUUUUUAGUAGAGACGGGGUUUCAGCAUGUUGGCCAGGCUGGUCUCAAAUUCCUGACCUCAGGUGAUCCACCCUCCUCGGCCUCCCAAAGUGCUGGGAUUACAGGCAUGAACCACCAUGCCUGGCCUACAAGUGAUAAUUUAAAUAACUGUUCUGCCACUGCAUACCACAGACUGGUAGGCCUUCCAAAGUAGAUCUGUUUGGCAGAAUCACAUCCAGAACCAUAGCUUCAAGGAAUUCUGGAAACGUGGCUUUAUUUCUAGAUCUGUAGAACAGGCAGAACACUGGGAACAGAUGUUGAGUGAGUCGAUCCAGAGUGUCUGGUAAACAUGUCUCAAUCCAGCCUCAUGAGAUAAGUCAUUCUUUGCCAGACUUGCCAAGAUGGUAAGGCUUCCUUUAAGUCAUUUCUGCAUUUCCUUCUGCCCUGAAUCUUAUCUUCCUCCCUCCCUCCUUUCUCUGCUUUGUGAGCUUAUGCUACUCUUUCAAUAUCCAAAUCCAACAUCAUCCUUAGCAAAGCAAAUCCAUGCUGGUUGCUGCUGGCUCUGAGUAGCACUUUGAACAAUCUUUGGUUAACAUUCUUAGAGGAAUCAUAUUUAUUGAUUACAGAUCUCUUUUUCCUGAUAAAAUGUGCCCUCCUUGAGAACAGGAAUAUAAGCAGCUGUCAUUGCAUCUGACCCUUUCUGCAUUUCUAUUUGUAUUCUCAGUCUGGCAAGGUGGAGUUGCUGAGGCAAUGUUUGUCGAACUCGUGAAUAUUGAUAAUGGCUCCAAAGCUGCCUCCUCUCUUAGACCAGAGGGUUAAGAGUAUGUAGACUCCGGCUAUGUGGUAGCUCAUGCCUCUAAUCUCACUGAAGGAGCCUCAUUGUCUGGGGUAAAUACCAGGGUCCUUGGUCUCACAGUCAAGGAAAUUGAGGUCACAGACACACACACAGAGUGAGAUUGGAGCAGGAGUUUAAUAGGCAAAAGGAAAGAACAGCUCUCUGUCACAGAGAGGGGUCCAGAGCAGGUUGUCAAGUUUUAGUAAAAAUGUCAGGGUUGGCCAGGUACGGUGGCUCACACCUGUAAUCUUAGCACUUUGGGAGGCUGAGGCGGGCAGAUCACGAGGUCAAGAGAUCGAGACCAUCCUGGCCAACAUGGUGAAACCCUGUCUCUACUAAAAAUACAAAAAUUAGCUGGGUGUGGUGGUGCGUACCUGUAGUCCCAGCUACUCGGAAGGCUGAGGCAGGAGAAUUGCUUGAACCUGGGAGGCGGAGGUUGCAGUGAGCCAAGAUCAUGCCACUGCACUCCAGCCUGGCGACAGAGCAACUCUCUCUUA